GUGCUUGCUUCAGCAGCCCAUAUAAUAAAAUUGGAACGAUACAAAGAUUAGCAUGGCCUCUGCACAAGGAUGACAUGCUAAUCCAUGUAGUGUUCCAUAUUUAA
This is a small nuclear RNA of Oryctolagus cuniculus (rabbit), 104 nucleotides long. The record is from Ensembl. Lineage: Eukaryota; Metazoa; Chordata; Mammalia; Lagomorpha; Leporidae.